CGCGCAGGCGGUCAUUUUUGUCGAGUGUGAAAGCCCCGGGCUUAACCUGGGAACUGCGCUCGAAACGGGAUGACUAGAGAUCGGGAGAGGAGAGUGGAAUUCCCAGUGUAGAGGUGAAAUUCGUAGAUAUUGGGAAGAACACCGGUGGCGAAGGCGGCUCUCUGGCCGAUACUGACGCUGAGGCGCGAAAGCGUGGGGAGCAAACA
Molecule: ribosomal RNA, 206 nt
Filed under: uncultured bacterium
Lineage: Bacteria
Description: partial 16S ribosomal RNA
Rfam family: Bacterial small subunit ribosomal RNA
Source: RNAcentral